Molecule: ribosomal RNA, 429 nt
Filed under: Actinomycetes bacterium
Lineage: Bacteria; Bacillati; Actinomycetota; Actinomycetes
Description: Actinobacteria bacterium partial 16S ribosomal RNA
Rfam family: Bacterial small subunit ribosomal RNA
Source: RNAcentral
UAGGGAAUCUUCCGCAAUGGGCGAAAGCCUGACGGAGCAACGCCGCGUGAGUGAUGAAUGUCUUCGGAUCGUAAAACUCUGUUCUUAGGGAAGAACAAAUGUGUAAGUAACUAUGCACGUCUUUACGGUACCUAAUCAGAAAGCCACGGCUAACUACGUGCCAGCAGCCGCGGUAAUACGUAGGUGGCAAGCGUUAUCCGUAAUUAUUGGGCGUAAAGCGCGCGUAGGCGGUUUUUUAAGUCUGAUGUGAAAGCCAACGGCUCAACCGUGGAGGGUCAGUAGAAACUGGAAAACUUGAGUGCAGAAGAGGAAAGUGGAAUUCCAUGUGUAGCGGUGAAAUGCGCAGAGAUAUGGAGGAACACCAGUGGCGAAGGCGACUUUUUGGUCUGUAACUGACGCUGAUGUGCGAAAGCGUGGGGAUCAAACAGG